Molecule: ribosomal RNA, 411 nt
Filed under: uncultured bacterium
Lineage: Bacteria
Description: bacterial SSU rRNA
Rfam family: Bacterial small subunit ribosomal RNA
Source: RNAcentral
GUGUCAGCCGCCGCGGUAAUACGAAGGGGGCUAGCGUUGUUCGGAAUCACUGGGCGUAAAGCGUACGUAGGCGGACCGUUAAGUCGGAGGUGAAAGCCUGGAGCUCAACUCCAGAACUGCCUUCGAUACUGGCGGUCUCGAGUCCGGGAGAGGUGAGUGGAACUGCCAGUGUAGAGGUGAAAUUCGUAGAUAUUGGCAAGAACACCAGUGGCGAAGGCGGCUCACUGGCCCGGUACUGACGCUGAGGUACGAAAGCGUGGGGAGCAAACAGGAUUAGAUACCCUGGUAGUCCACGCCGUAAACGAUGGAAGCCAGCCGUCGGGCAGCAUGCUGUUCGGUGGCGCAGCUAACGCUUUGAGCUUCCCGCCUGGGGAGUACGGUCGCAAGAUUAAAACUCAAAUAAAUUGACGG